GGAGUCUGGGCCGUAUCUCAGUCCCAAUGUGUCCGUCCGCCCUCUCAGGCCGGAUACCCGUUGUCGCCACGGUGAGCCGUUACCUCGCCGUCUAGCUGAUGGGCCGCAGGCCGAUCUUUCGGCGGAGCCGAAGCUCCUUUCUUCCAUAGCCUUUACACUACGGAUCGUAUCCGGUAUUACCCCGUAUUUCUACAGGCUGUCCCCGUCCGAAAGGUACAUCACCCACGUGUUACUCACCAGUCCGCCGCUCUCAUAUAGGGCAAGCCCCAUAUUCCCGCUCGACUUGCAUGGUUAAGACGCGCCGCCAGUGUUCGUU
RNAcentral lists this ribosomal RNA (316 nucleotides) under uncultured Treponema sp. RNAcentral's name for it is "partial 16S ribosomal RNA". The record is from RNAcentral. Lineage: Bacteria; Pseudomonadati; Spirochaetota; Spirochaetia; Treponematales; Treponemataceae.